RNAcentral lists this unclassified non-coding RNA (525 nucleotides) under Hevea brasiliensis (rubber tree). The record is from RNAcentral. Lineage: Eukaryota; Viridiplantae; Streptophyta; Magnoliopsida; Malpighiales; Euphorbiaceae.
CUCGCUUUCUCCCUCUUUUAUUUCCCAUGGUGUCCUUCCUCUGCCGUACCCACUUCCAUUAUUAGAUGGUGGUGAUGGCCACCCGCUGGAGUAGGCAAAUGGGUCCUCCAUCAUUCUCUCCAUCGUUUCCAUCAUCUGCUGCACUGUUCUGGCUGUUGGGAAUCUGUCCCACAACCCUACUGGUGCAACAGGAACCACUCUUUUCUUGGGUUGCGUCUGUUGAUGAUGCUUGCUGGCCCUCUGCAGGUGGUCAAGAUUGUCUCUGUUAUCCGCUGCCAUGACUUUGGUGCCAUUGUUGUUCUUGUGGAGGGAAUUAAAGCCGGCCCCAUUUGUUUUCCAGAAGCAGAAGUUUCUUGAUCCGCUAUAUGUGCUUCUUGAAGAUAAAGGAAGAGAAAAGCUAAAUCUUAACAGAUCUUGAGACAUGUUUGAUAUGUUCUUGCAAUCAGAGAAAGAUGUUUCGAGAGAAUCGGUGGAAUGGAAGAUGGAAUUAGCAAUAUUUAAAGAGAACCGUGGACAUUUCUGGAG